This 530-nucleotide ribosomal RNA is filed under the name uncultured bacterium. Its description in RNAcentral is "bacterial SSU rRNA". It matches the Rfam family "Bacterial small subunit ribosomal RNA", at positions 8 to 519 of the family's 1533-position model. The record is from RNAcentral.
AGAGUUUGAUCCUGGCUCAGGAUGAACGCUGGCGGCGUGCCUAACACAUGCAAGUCGAACGGUACCAGGCUUUCACUGUCCGUUCCUCGCAACUAGUUUCUAGUUGAUCCCGAGGAAUAGAGAGUGAAAGUGCUGGCGAGUGGCGGACGGCUGAGUAACGCGUGGGAACGUGCCCCAAAGUGAGGAAUAAGCACCGGAAACGGUGUCUAAUGCCGCAUAUGAUCUUCGGAUUAAAGUAUUUAUACGCUUUGGGAGCGGCCCGCGUCGGAUUAGGUUGUUGGUGAGGUAAUGGCUCACCAAGCCGACGAUCCGUAGCUGGUCUGAGAGGAUGACCAGCCAGACUGGAACUGAGACACGGUCCAGACUCCUACGGGAGGCAGCAGUGAGGAAUCUUCCACAAUGGGCGAAAGCCUGAUGGAGCAACGCCGCGUGCAGGAUGAAGGCCUUCGGGUCGUAAACUGCUUUUAUUUGUGAAGAAUAUGACGGUAACAAAUGAAUAAGGAUCGGCUAACUACGUGCCAGCAGCCGCG